CGUAGGGUGCGAGCGUUAAUCGGAAUUACUGGGCGUAAAGUGUGCGCAGGUGGCCGCGCAAGUCGAGUGUGAAAUCCCCGAGCUUAACUUGGGAAUUGCGCUCGAAACUACGUGGCUCGAGUGUGGCAGAGGAAGGUGGAAUUCCACGUGUAGCGGUGAAAUGCGUAGAGAUGUGGAGGAACACCGAUGGCGAAGGCAGCCUUCUGGGCCAACACUGACGUUCAUGCACGAAAGCGUGGGGAGCAAACAGGAUUAGAUACCCUGGUAGUCCACGCCCUAAACGAUGAUGACUAGUUGUUGGAGGAGUUAAAUCCUUUAGUAACGCAGCUAACGCGUGAAGUCAUCCGCCUGGGGAGUACGGUCGCAAGAUUA
RNAcentral lists this ribosomal RNA (372 nucleotides) under uncultured organism. Its description in RNAcentral is "bacterial SSU rRNA". It matches the Rfam family "Bacterial small subunit ribosomal RNA", at positions 526 to 896 of the family's 1533-position model. The record is from RNAcentral.